This 3010-nucleotide long non-coding RNA is filed under the name Mus musculus (house mouse). RNAcentral's name for it is "long non-coding RNA chr1:165460636-165463646". The record is from RNAcentral. Lineage: Eukaryota; Metazoa; Chordata; Mammalia; Rodentia; Muridae.
ACCCUAGGAGAGGAGCUUGAGGGCGCUCUAGCCUACUCCUUAAUGGAUUGGAGAGGCAUGACGGAAGCCGCUGAGGUUGUCUUGCUCACGCCUCUCGAGUCAAAGGAAAAAACCGGGCGUGAUGACCCAUGCAUGCAAUCCCAGCAGUCGGGAGGCUGGACCAUAGCGAGAUCCAAGCCAGCCUGGGGUACACAGCGAAGACACCGACUCAAAAACAAUAAGUAAAUAAGAGGAAGUCCGACAGGUAUCCAGCGUCAUCUUCAGUUCGGGAGAGGGAAGCCCAGAAAGCUUAUUAGUCAAAGUGAGGGACCGGGCGGAAGUGCGGCUUCAGGUUCCCCUCUCCAACAUGGCCUCCAGGGCCGGAAGGAGAUGAUUUCUGGCCACGCCUCUUCCGCUCUGUGAGGCCAGCCAAUUAGAGCAGGCCGUUAAGCUUGCGCAACGCCUCGCCCGCCUAGCUCUAGCGGCCCCAGCACGGCGACCUCUGUAGCACCUGUUGCCAUGACUCCUCCCCCUCGGUCUCCCCAACCCGCUCGCAGGAGGCGGGCCGGGGCGGGCUUUUGCUGAGCUCCGCCCCCCUGAGCCUUUGCGGGACUCGGCCUCUAGGUGCUUCACCUCUGGCUGCCAGAGCCGGGGAAGGGCGCCCUAGGGCAGAGGCGGACGCCCCAGCGCUGCAGAGAGAAAGUGACGAGCCGCCCUUCGUUGUCAGCCAGGAACGCGGACACAGCGGCGCUCCCACCCUGCUGCUGUCGAUCCCUAGGCCGCCGCGAUGGCAGCUGCCGGCGCCCGAGGCCUGCGGGCCACCUACCACCGACUCAUGGAUAAAGUGGAGUUGUUGCUGCCAAAGAAAUUGAGGCCGCUUUACAACCACCCGGCAGGUAAUGAAUCCUGAACGGCUCGCACGGAGAUCGUUCCUCUCCCUCCGAAACCGGGACAUUAGAGGCCCUGUGACAGUUGAGUUGCUACCGGAAUCCCAGAGCCCUCAUCUCGCCACUGAAGGGAAUCCAUCAAUUCUCCUAGUCUUUCACCUUGUUUCAUCUUAGGUCUCUUUCCAAAAACCGAGUAUCAGCACCCAGUGCCCUUGUUGACUUUUGAUGUCUUCGCUCCCUUAAACACUGCUCACACUCCCGACCUCUCCUCCAGACUUGAACCUUACUUAACUCCUGAGAGCCACGAAGGGGUCUUGGGCCACCAUGAAACCCUCCUUCUCCUCCCCUUUCUCCCUCCGUGAAUUUCUAACGCACACGUGGGGUAGAGCUGAAAAGGUGUCUGUCUGGUCUCAGCAGAGGGUUUGGAGUAAAGGUCAUACUUUAGUUCCUCUUGGCAGAGGCCUGCUAAGUGAGCCCUCCCCAAAAUUGGACGCUCCCCACCCCCAUCCCCUUCCCCUUCCCGGUUCAGUCAAUGUCAACCUGGUUCCAUAGACCCAGUAUAAUAAGCCAGUCAUUAUGCAAUCACUGACCAGGUUAUAUCUGUGUUUUAUGUGGGCAGAUAUGAAUACAGUUCUGUUCCACCGCUCACCAAGAUGUGACCUUGGGCAAAAUUCUAUACCUCUGUCUUAAUUCAUAUAAAAUGUAUUCAGUGUGAAAAUCAAAAAUAACAUAUGCUUGAUUCUUUGAGGAUGUUAGCUGUCACAAGUACUGGAUAAGAAUUCUUGUAGUUAAAAUAAUUCUUUAAGAAACUGGAAGGCCCCUGUCCCUCUAGCUCUUUAUCACAGUUAUUAAAUUAGUUUAUUUCUAAUACAAAAUGGGUGAUAGUAAUACUUGGGUGAGGACUAAAAUCUGAUUAUAUUAUGAAGUCUUUCAAGCAUAAAAUUGAGCAAAUAGAAAAAUUUACUCACAGUGGAAAAAUGGAGUUGCUAACAAAAAAGUGAACUUUGCCUUUACAUAGAUUAAAUCCAUAGUCUACAAUUGAUAUUAGAAAGAUUUAGUUCUGUUUGUUUCUUUGUUUGUUUGAGACAGCGUCUCUGUAUAGCCCAGUCUGUCCUGGAAUUCAGCUCUAUAGACCAGGCUGGCCUUCAACUCAGAAAUCCACCUGCCUCUGCCUCCCAAGUGCUGGGAUUAAAGGUGUGGGCCACCAUGCCCAGAGGAAGGUUUAGUUCUAAGGGAUGAGGCAGUUCUCUAGAGCCUGGGCUGGUUAUUAAAUCUGGUGUCCACUCUAAUAACAGAAUGGUCUAUACCUCUGCAUAGAUGGUAAUUUUAACACUUAAUGGCAUUACUGCAGUAUGAAAACCAUUAUAAAACUUGUUUUAAGGAACUUUAUUGAUGAAGUUUGUUUAGUUACCUAUUAGUUUUUACAUUUUUCUGCUUUGUUAUGUUUUAUGGCAGAGAUUUUCAGAAGAUAAUAAUUUGACAAUCUAUGUAAUGAUCAGAAUGUUACAAAAUCAACUGAGGUCUUUGGCAAUUCUUACCCUCCAGCUUUGGAGUGAGGACAGUGUGGAGCAGGCUCAGUUUUAAAGCACUUAAGCUAACAGAGAAUUGGAAAGUAGUCUUUUGUUGAUCUUUUUCAAGACCCUGGCUUUUAGCCACUUGUAAUUAUUGUUUAUAGUACUUAAACUGUACAGAGUAUUUUGUGCAUUUCAUCCGGAAGUCUUUGGGUUAAUUCUGUUUUAAGUGUAAUAAAAGGAACACAGAGUUGGAAGACAGAGGCAGGUUAAAUCUUGACUUUAACGAAUUCCCCAAACCUUAGGAAUCUUUUUGUUUGGUUAGUUGGUUAUUUGUUUUGUGUUUUGUUUUUGGUUUGGUUUGGUUUUCAAGGCAAGAUAUCUCUGUGCAGCCCUGGCUGUCCUGGAAUUAGCUCUGUAGAUCAGGAUGGCUUCAAACUCAGAGAUCUGCCUACCUCUCCCUCCUGGGUGCUAUGAUUGAAAGUGUGAGCCCUCACUGCCUGGGUGCAAAUCUUUUAAAAUUAAAAAUGAUUGUGAAAAAUUAAAUGAUUGUAAUAUCUGUAAAGCAUGUACAAAAGUAUUUGUUUUACAAAUCAGAACGAACUUUCUCUUCCAAAUAAAGGGUUUAGGGCU